CCUACGGGAGGCAGCAGUGGGGAAUAUUGGGCAAUGGAGGAAACUCUGACCCAGCGACGCCGCGUGAGGGAUGAAGGUCUUCGGAUUGUAAACCUCUUUCAGUAGGGAAGAAGCGAAAGUGACGGUACCUAAAGAAGAAGCACCGGCUAACUAUGUGCCAGCAGCCGCGGUAAUACAUAGGGUGCAAGCGUUGUCCGGAAUUAUUGGGCGUAAAGAGCUCGUAGGUCGUUUGUCGCGUCGAUUGUGAAAAUCUGAGGCUCAACCUCAGACCUGCAGUCGAUACGGGCAAACUAGAGUGUGGUAGGGGAGACUGGAAUUCCUGGUGUAGCGGUGGAAUGCGCAGAUAUCAGGAGGAACACCAAUGGCGAAGGCAGGUCUCUGGGCCAUAACUGACACUGAGGAGCGAAAGUGCGGGGAGCAAACAGGAUUAGAUACCCUGGUAGUCCACGCCCUAAACGAUGUCAACUGGUUGUUGGGUCUUUGCUGACUCAGUAACGAAGCUAACGCGUGAAGUUGACCGCCUGGGGAGUACGGCCGCAAGGUUGAAACUCAAAGGAAUUGACGG
Molecule: ribosomal RNA, 565 nt
Filed under: uncultured bacterium
Lineage: Bacteria
Description: bacterial SSU rRNA
Rfam family: Bacterial small subunit ribosomal RNA
Source: RNAcentral